CGGAAGAACAGAUCAGGUAGGAAUACCCGCUGAACUUAAGCAUAUCAAUAAGCGGAGGAACGACUCU
RNAcentral lists this ribosomal RNA (67 nucleotides) under Cladosporium cladosporioides. Its description in RNAcentral is "partial 28S ribosomal RNA". Lineage: Eukaryota; Fungi; Ascomycota; Dothideomycetes; Cladosporiales; Cladosporiaceae. The record is from RNAcentral.